ACUAAGACUGUUCACACUACAUCAUUAAGUAAAAUACUGCCUAUAGCAAUGUUCCUCUAAGAGAAAAUAAUUUGCUUUUAAGAUCUGUCCUCAAACAUGUUUUCAAGGAAAUGUAGAGAGGAAAAAGGAAGGCAGCCAAAUCAGAUGGAGCACAUUGCAUGAUGAAAAGGCACACAGACUCUCUAUGUGCACACCACUAAAUUAGAGAGGGGUCUAAUGUAGCUCAAUUGACAGCAUUUUUCCCAUUCUUGAUUCAAAUAACUCUAGAAUACAUCUAAUUUUAAAUAUGAGUCUGUAGACUGAUACAAUUCAAAGAAAACUCUGCCUUUAAGGGUUUAUAAUCUAGUGGGAGGAAACACUUAACACCAAAAUACAAAGUUUGGGGAUUGGUUUGGUUUGCUCUGUUUAUUUUUUCGAAGCAGGAUCUUGUUAUGGUGGCCUUGGCGGGCUUAGAAUUCAUCAUGAAGACUAGGCUGGCCUCAAACUGGCAUCAAUUUUUCUGUUUUGUCUACCACAUGCUAGGACCCCAUGUAUAUGCCACUAUACUGAGCUAAACGACAACUCUUAAUAAAAUAAACAUGAAGGUAUAAAGUGACAAAAUGGCUAAGAAGAAGGUUAAAGAACGUAAGAAUGGGUACUAGGAGUUCAGUGUGGUGGCAUGAGCCUUUAAAGCAGGACUCAGGAGACAGAGGCAGGCAGAUCUCUGAGUUUGAAGCCAGUCUGGUCUACAGAGCAAGUUCCCGGUCACCCAGGGCUACACAGAGAAACCCUGUGUAGGGGAAUAAAAAGAACAGGUACUAGGAAGUAGGAAUGAGGAAACCAUACAGGUUGGUUUGGUUUGGUUGGGGGUAGAGGGUUAGAGGGAGGAGAGUGUUUGAGACAAACCACAGGAGUUAGCUCUCUGCUUGCACAGCCAAAGCACCUUAACUCUCCAGCACUCAUAUAUAAAGCUGGUAGCCCAAGAUGAGUGACAGCCUGGCUAAACCAGCUAGCCCUGGGUUCAGGGAGAGUUUAUGCCUUAGCAAUGAAGUAGAGAGUAACUGAGAGAAUCACCUCUGGCUCAGCCAUAUGCACACCAAAUGCAUACAAGCCCACAACUCAUACAGACAUAAAGAAAUAAGCCAGGAACAACAAAGCAGAAAGUAAAUGAUACUUCAACAAGGCAAAGGUAGGGGGAAAAUGAUGACUGGUGAAAGGUUUUGGUUGGGUUACUCUCCUGAGAACCAGCAAUAACUAGUUCUAGUUACUGUAAGGCAAGUGCCUCACGAUAACAAUCCAUGGAGAAAAAGGGCCAUCUAACUUGCCGUAACUCUCUCUCCUCUGCACUCCUGUGGUAGUUUAAAAUUAAAUUCACAAUUUGUAAAACCUUUGAGAUUUUGGUUUUCAGGUAUGUGUGUUUUGUCUGCACGUGUAUCUUCUGUACACCAUGUGCAUGCAGCAAUGCCUUCAGGGGCCAGAACAGGGCACCGUAUCCUCUGGAACACUGGGGUUACAGACAGUUAGUACCCACCAUGUGGAUACUGAGAAUUGAACCUGGGACCCCUGGAAGAAGAGCUGGUGAAACCAUCUCCCAAACCUCUCACAAACUUUUUGAUGCUGCUCUUUUCAAGAGCUGUCACUCACUCCCUGGAGGCAGGCUCUAAUUAAUGACCUGAUUCCAACUAGUACAAUACAGUAGAAGAGAUGAUGCUUACCAGGCAUACUAGCACAGCCAUUUAAUCCCAGCACUCAGGAGGCAGAGGCAGGUGGAGCUCAGUAAACUGAAGGCCAGCCUGAGCUACGUAGCCAGCUGCAAGUCAGUCAAGGCUAUACAGUGAGACCCUGUCUCAAAGAAAUGUGGAAAUGAGUGUGGGGGCGAUAUAUGACUUCUAAGACUAAGUCAUAAAAAAGGCUGUGUUCCCAAGCUCAAAACCAAAUACUAUGUCAUGAGCCAUGCCAUUAACACUAUGGAGAAGGCCAUGUGGCCAGAACUGGAGAUUCCCUGCCCACACCAACUUGAGACAUACUGGAAGCAGAUCCUCCAGUCCUAGCUAACCUCUUUAACUGGAAACCUCAAGAAAUCCUUGUGCAGGAGCAGCUCAGCUAAGCCACUCUCAAGCACUAUGCUGCGACCAUGUUCUGAGGCACUCUGAAUAUGCAACACACACAGCCACACAGCUCUCGGGUAGCUCGUCCCUAACAUCUUAUCCGCUCAGGUAGUACCAAUGCUCAACAGAAACAUUAGUUCCUAGCUUGUCUUCAUCUCUGCAGAUCUCUAGGCUUACCCUAAUAUUUUGUGUGUUGAAAGAUUCUUGCACUGCCCACUCUAGACUUACUGCAGUUGUAGAAGCUGAAGAGAUUGAACUCUCAUUAGAUAAGAAACCUACAUAAGAGAGUAGGGUAAAAGGAAACUACUGAUUUGAUUCAUCAGACAUGAAAUAAAGGUAAUAGGGGUUGGGGAUUUAGCUCAGUGGUAGGGCACUUGCCUAGGAAGCGCAAAGCCCUGGGUUCGGUCCCCAGCUCCGGAAAAAAAAAGAAAAAAAAUGAAUGAAUGAAUGAAUGAAUGAAAGAAAGAAAGAAAGAAAGAAAGAAAGAAAGAAAGAAAGGAAGGAAGGAAGGAAGGAAGGUAAUAAAUACUGUGUUCCAAUACAAUCACAGAAGAACACCAUGUAUACUGAAAGAAAGAGCCGGGCCUUGUCUACCUUGGAUGUUGCCUGAGCAACAAAGCAAAAGCAGGGUAAUUAUCACAACCUCUCUAUUUUUUUAAUUGUAUUUCUAGUCAGGGAUGGUAGCGUACACCUUUGAUCCCAGCACUCAGGAGGCAGAGCAGACAAAUCUCUAUGAGUUCAAGGCCAGCAUGAUCUAAAGAGUGAGUUCCAGGACAGCCAGGACUACACAGAGAAACCUUACCUUGGAAAAAAGAAUUUAUUAGGGAGCAUAUGCCAUAAAGUUCACAGAGAAGGCAGAGGACUUUCAGGAAUCUGUUUUCUCCUAUCAGCACGAAUCCUGUGGAUUAAACUUGAGUUGUAGUCUCUAAGCACUUUUUCUCCUCUAAGACAUCUUGCUACAGUUGUGGUACCACACAACUUACUCCUUUGUUAUGGAGAAAACGAACCAGUCUCAGGUCAAGACAGUAUUAAAUUUUACAUACAUAUUUCAGAAUAUGUCCUACAGAACAUUAGUAUACAAUAAGGUUACACACAUUCUUUAUAUAUAUAUAUAUUAUUUAUUUAAUAUAUGUGAGGAUAUUGUAGCUGUCUUCAGACACACCAGAAGAGGGGAUCAGAUCCCAUUACAGAUGGUUGUGAGCCACAAUGUGGUUGCUGGGAAUUGAACUCAGGACCUCUGGAAGAGCAGUCAAUUCUCUUAACCACUGAGCCAUCCCUCCAGCCCCGAUUACACACAUUCUUUUUUGUUUUUUUUUUCCUCCCUUUUUUUUUCUCCCUUUUUUUUUUUUUUUUCGGAGCUGGGGACCGAGGCCUUGCGCUUGCUAGGCAAGCGCUCUACCACCGAGCUAAAUCCCCAACCCCGGUUACACACAUUCUUAAAGGGCAGGAGGAUCCUUUUCUCAAGUUUAACUCUCUUGAGAAAUCCCAACUGGAUACCAUGCCAUUUUUAAGACUUUAAUGGGCUAAGAUACAUUAUAAAUCAAUCUGACUGCAGAAUACUUACAACCUUGCAAUUUAAUAGGGUGCCUUUAGUUCAGUUAGGCAAACACUGACUUAGAAAAGCAAGUAGGUAGACAAGCAUGCAGGUGAACAGAUUUACAGAAAAAAGAAAAAGACAAACCUAACAAAAGGCCUCACCUAAUGAAAAGAUGGUAUGUGCUUAGUAAUGACUAUGUAACUUCUUAAAACAUAGUAACUAUUAAACAGAAUAAGCUAGAAAAGCCAACAACAACCAAAGCAGAUGUCAACAGAAAUGAAGAUGGGAAAAAUCAAUAGGUCUCUAACAAAAACCAGAGAAAUCGCUUUCCCUAGACCAGACAUACAGAAUGACUUUCACUAGCAUGUCCCUGCACAUGAGCUGAGAGAGAGAGGUGAGGACCUAGCCCAAGUGUAGCCCAUCUGGAGGGCUGAGAGCAGCUUAUGAGGUAGCCUGACCCUAAGCCCUUAGCCAACGCCCGCAAUAACUAAGGGCCUAUCAGAUGUCUCUUGGGAAAUUUUAAUUACAGAUAGAGUCCUUAGUGAAGUGGAAACAGCGUAACCACACAAAGGAAGCAGAGAUAAACAGCUGAGUUAAGGGCAAAGAAUUAGGAGGAGGGCCCUGGCUAUCCAGUACUGAGCAAAAUGACUUCUUCACUAAAAAUCAGAGCUGGACUAUUACUGCCUAACCUAACCCAGCUAGUUUCCCCCCCCCCCCCCCCCAGCUAGCUUUAAGUAGAAACCCUGCCAGAGAGAACAGGACAGCAGGUCAACGUGAUUUCAACCCUUCUGUGACCCACAUAGAAAAGACAUGGAGAGACAGUGAGGCAGCAGAGGGAGGGACACUGAGUCUGGGUUUAAGGAGUAUCCAGGGGAAAAAAAAAACAAAACUUUUCUUCCCUGGGGAAAAAAAAUAAAACUUUUUCUUCCCUGGGAAAAUAAAGACUUAUUGGUACUCCAAAAAAGAGUAUCCAGGAGCUGAGGGCACGGCUUAGUAAUGGAGCACAGGCUUAAACACAAACCAAGCCCUGGCUUCUAUCACCAGCAUCAAUGAAAAAUGAACUAAGAGGCGCCAGUUAAAAUAUACCUAAAUGGGGCUGAAGGGAUGGCUCAUCAGUUACGAGCACUGGCUACUCGUUUGGAGAACCCAGGUGCAAUUCCCAACAACCACAUGACAGUUCAUAACUGUCUAUAACUCCUGUUUCAAGGGAUCCAACUCCUUCAUACAGACAUAUGCAGUCAAAAUACCAAUGUACAUAAAUAAAUUAUUACACACACACACAAACACAUAUAUAUAUACCUAAAUGAUGCUUUCAUACAUGAAACAUACUUAAACCUACAAGCCAGAGCCCCUGCACCCCAUGACUCAUUAAUCAGAACUGCUCUAGGGUGGAUAUACUUCCCAGAGCCACCAGGUUCUGCCACAAAGGGAGGUUUCCCAAGCUGCCCCAGGCAGUUUAUACAAGCAGUAGACAGUUUAUACAUGCAGACGCAAGCCUGCAUUCCUGCCUAUCCACACUGUCUCUGAUACACACACACACACACACACACACACACACACACACACUGCACUCUUGACACAGGAAAGGAUGUCCUCUGGGAGACUGGGUGACAUGUAGAGGUGCCAAGAAAUGUGCCCCUACAUGUUGUGGUGAGUGGAUGCUGGCAAGGAACUUUUGCAGAAGAGGCUCUCAGCAGCUAAGACUGUCUCAACAUGCUGCAUGGCACCAUUCCCUUUUGGUGAGUUCAAGCCAACAGUGCAAACACUGUCCCCUUUAGAAUGGCGUCCUUACUGCUAGUCACAGCCCUUCUCUAGGGUAGUAGGCUCAAAAGAUUCUGCUAAGGUGACAAAACAUCUCAGGCUGCUAAAGCUCAGAGGACCAGCACCCCUGACCCCUGACGCUCACUACUCCAGCGCUGGAGGCACUGACAAACCUAGAGGUUUAUACUCUGGGAGGCCUGACCUUUAAGAGCUUAAAUUUCUGUUCCAAUUUCCCCCAGUAUUUGAAAAGACUUCGAAUGUUUUAUGUUCUGAGCAAUCACAACAUCCUAACCAAAGUCCUUAAAAGUCACAUAAUAACUAGUUUAAAAUUAGGACAUGACCAUGCCUUCAACGUCAGAACAAACAGUCUACAGUGAUUCCUCAAACUAGUGUUCUAUGAACUAGAAAUACUAUUUUGUAAUAUAACCACAUAAAGACUUCACAGAAAAGACACUGCUUAUGGUUGUUAAUAUAUUAGCAAAUUUUACCAAAUUAAAGACAAUUCUAGCCAGGUGGUAGCACACACCUUUAAUCCUACCCCUGGGAGGCGGAGGCAGGUAGAUCUCUGAGUUUUGAGGCAAGCCUGGGCUACAGAGUGAAUUCCAAGAUAGCCAGGGCUACACAGAGAAAGCCUGUCUCAAAAGAGCAACCACAACAGACCUAAUGCUGUAAUCCUGGCACUUAGGAGGUAAAGACACAAAGUACAAGGAGCGUUCAUGGCAUCCUGAGCUACACUGAGUCUGACACUAGCCUGGCUACACAAAGCCCUGCCUCAAAAAGAAGGGAAAAAAAAAAAAAAACUUUCUUUUUACACUGACACAAACAGAUCCUUUUGCUUACACACAUAAAAAAACUUUGAUGGAUCAUCAAGAUGGCUCAUCUGGUAAUGGAGCCUGCUUGCCUGGUAAGCCUGACAAAGUCAGUCAAAUUCCCAGGACACACAUGGCAGAAAGAACUGACUUCCAGAAAGUGUUCCUAACCUCCAUAUGUAUACAUGGUACCCACACAGAUUAGUAUGUAUCCAACCAUGACCCCACACGCAGUUUAAUAAUUUUUUUGAGAGAAAGUCUCACUAUGAAGCACGACCGACCUAGAACUCACUACUACACCAUACUCAGAUCAAACUGUCUCUUCCUUCCUCUCAGGGGAUUAAAUUCAAAUGCCACCACAGUUGAAUAAAAUGUUUAAAAAAUGUUUUAAGCUUUAUUUUUUUAUUGAAUGUGUUUGGGUGCUUUGCCUCCUUGUGUGUCUGUGUGCAGUGUUCUAAGAGGGUGUGAAGAGGGUGCCAGAUUCCCUAGAGCUGGAGUUAUAGAUGGUAGGAAGUCACCCUGUGGAAACUGGAAAUUGAAUCUGGGUCCUCUGGAUAAGCACCCACUACUCUUAGCCAUUGAGCCAUCUCUCCAACCCAAAAUAAAAAAUGAUUAAAGGAAUUUAUGUUAGCAGUUUUAUCUGACCCAGUUACCUAAUACAAGAACAUGAAUUAUACCUUAAUUACUUGGCACAGCAACAAAUUAUUUAUGUAAGUCACAAUUCCAGGGCAACAUGGAAACACACACCCAUAAUCUCAGCACUCGGGAGGCUGAAGCAGGCUUGCCAGGAGUUUGAGAUCAACAUGGGCUACAUAGCCAAUACCUGCCUCAAAAAAAUGUAUUAAUUAAUUAUGAAAAUCCAACCAAAACUCCAAGCUAGUAAAUAUUUGGGCAUACUUGAGUUAUUUGUAGUCAGAUGUUCAUUGAAAUGGCAAAAGCAAUCUUAGAAAUACUGUAACGAAUAUUUAAAUGCACAUUUCUCACUUAAAAAACACUAGGAUCGUGUUAGACAAGCUAAGUACAAACUAACAUGCUUGCCAAAAACCACACUUAAAUAGGAUAUGCAAAGCUUCAACUGUGGAAUAACUAUUAGGGUGCCAAUAAUUAAUAAUUACGCAUGAUUCAAGAAAAACUUCUCGAGGUUAAAAUCCUAUGAUCAACUACAGUCUAGCGUACAGUGCUACCAGAAAACUUAUACAGAACAACAGGGUAGUGCAAUCUCUCUCUCUCCCUUUAUGUGUACCUGGAGGAGGGCAGGGAGAAGAGGAAGAGAGAUGAAGUUCACAGCCUGGUGAACUAACAAUUCACUUAAAAAAAUGAAUUUCCUGCUAUCUUAACCUCUGAAUCAAUUGUAAAAGUAGCUGCCAAAAGCAGUUAGCAGGAAAGCACACAGCUCCCAAAGGAGCUCCGAAUAUACAACCUAUUCUACUACUUAAAUGCUUUACUGAUUACUGAGAUUUCAACAAGAUGUGAAACAUUCAAAACCAAUCUUAGAGCAGCAGGUGUUCAGAACGUCCAUGGUAGUGCUCAGCACACACGGGUCUUCGGUGCAGCUCAUGUCCAGGAUGCCUGUUCUAGCACCUGACCCUGCUCUUCAGUCCCAGCCCAACAUUAUGGACAUUACUGCAGGGUCUGGUGUGGAUACUGUCUUGCUUUUUAAAAACUUGGUUUACUGCCCGCUAAGUGAAAAGACACUGGGAUAUUUUACUUCUUGAUUUAGUUAACCUUUUUAGCCUAAAUUGGCUUCUGGAUACUCCAGUCUGUUUUCAACAAACACUGACAGAACCUACACUGAACUGAAGCUACCUGAGUAUUUUCCCACUAAAUAAAUACAUUUGAAACAUUCACACUGCACUGUAAAAGGUGCUCAACCUUAGGCACUAUGUAUCAAGCUUUCAGAACUAAAAUGAACCAGCAAUGGCUUUAAGAAUGACCAGUCUAGAAUAGACGUUUACAGCUACAACCCUCUCUAACUGGUCAUUGCACCCAUGAUGAUAAACUCAUGGGAGGCAUUUAUCAACAGAUUAUUUAUGAAAUCGCACAUACAUUCAGAAGACUCUGCUAUUCAUAAUCUUCUGUGUUAAUCUGUAUACACAGUCAAAUUUUGCUAGCCUCUAGUUUAUAAAAAAAAAAAAAAAAAAAAAAAAUGAAGGCCCAAGCCAUUCUUCAGGCUUGUUUAUUAAUACUGACAUGACUGUUGAAAACAGUAUGGGAUACUGCACCACUAGCUACACAGAUCUACUGAUUUCAGUGAGAGUCCUCAGCCCAACCUCUCUUCAGCCUCUUUGGCAGGGAAUGGAUGUUUAAAUCCCAGAGGAAAUCUCUGAUGCUAGGAUUUUACUUUCCCUAAGUUUAUUUUUUUAAUGAUACCAAAAUGUUCCUAAAGAGCUGCUGGUGUAUACAGUCUCCUACACCUGGAGUGCAAAUGAGUCCCUAUUCCGUUUUCUAGUUUAAGACAAAAUACAGUUCUCACAAAAAGAAAGAGCAUCAAUUCAAAGGAGUCCUUGCAAGUCACAAUGUGAAAAUACCCCUGAUAACAGAACAAAUUAAUGUCGAGACACAGCCAAUAACACAAUGAGGCUGCAGUGCGAGUGCGCCUGUCAAAGGGCAUCUGUAUUAGCAGCCUGGGGAAGUGGCAUUUGCAGAAAGGCACAGCGGCUGUGUUUAAAAGAAAAUCAUUAAGCCUCAGCCGUUAAUCCCCUCCCCCAUCCUCUUCACUGGAUCGUCAAAGCAAUUAACCAGUAGAAGGUGCUAUUCUGCAACCCACAUGUAUUCACACUAACCUCCAUCCUUGGCCCAGAGCAGGAUUUAGCCAGGUGGACUCUCAGCCCUGUCCAGCAUUCCAAAGGGCCUCUACCAAAGCCCCUAGCCAGAAAACCAGAUCUUUUCUUAAAACACUGUUGAGGGAAAAAACUAUAUUGAUAAGUCAAGCACCAUCAAUCAAUAGACACACACACACACACACACACACACACACACACACACACACACACACAAACACUGCUACAUAUUAACCUCAAAUACAAUCUUUAUCACUGUAACUGAGACAACCUAUUUCUACUUAGAAAGGCCCUGGUCACACUCAGCAAAAGAAAAAAAAAAAAAAAAAAAAAUCAAGUGAACAAGAACAAACCUGUCCCUCACAGAGUCUGGGGUUUCGAGGAAGGGAAGGCAGAGAGUGUAAGGCCAUGGCAGAGUUUAUCUUUACACAGAAAAGCAAGCAACAAAA
This is a non-coding RNA of Rattus norvegicus (Norway rat), 9423 nucleotides long. NCBI's taxonomy places the organism in Eukaryota, Metazoa, Chordata, Mammalia, Rodentia, Muridae. The record is from RefSeq and is a predicted model, not a curated record.